GGGAGUGUAGCUCAGCUGGUUCAGAGCAUCUGCCUUACAAGCAGAGGGUCCGCGGUUCGAACCCGUGCACUCCCA
This 75-nucleotide transfer RNA is filed under the name Chitinophagaceae bacterium. RNAcentral describes it as "tRNA-Val". It matches the Rfam family "tRNA". From Rfam's summary of the family: Transfer RNA (tRNA) molecules are approximately 80 nucleotides in length. Their secondary structure includes four short double-helical elements and three loops (D, anti-codon, and T loops). Lineage: Bacteria; Pseudomonadati; Bacteroidota; Chitinophagia; Chitinophagales; Chitinophagaceae. The record is from RNAcentral.